Molecule: ribosomal RNA, 2923 nt
Filed under: Klebsiella pneumoniae
Lineage: Bacteria; Pseudomonadati; Pseudomonadota; Gammaproteobacteria; Enterobacterales; Enterobacteriaceae
Description: 23S ribosomal RNA
Rfam family: Bacterial large subunit ribosomal RNA
Source: RNAcentral
GGGUUGUGAGGUUAAGCGACUAAGCGUACACGGUGGAUGCCCUGGCAGUCAGAGGCGAUGAAGGACGUGCUAAUCUGCGAAAAGCGUCGGUAAGGUGAUAUGAACCGUUAUAGCCGGCGAUGUCCGAAUGGGGAAACCCAGUGCAAUUCGUUGCACUAUCGUUAACUGAAUACAUAGGUUAACGAGGCGAACCGGGGGAACUGAAACAUCUAAGUACCCCGAGGAAAAGAAAUCAACCGAGAUUCCCCCAGUAGCGGCGAGCGAACGGGGAGCAGCCCAGAGUCUGAAUCAGCUUGUGUGUUAGUGGAACGGUCUGGAAAGUCCGACGGUACAGGGUGAUAGUCCCGUACACCAAAAUGCACAGGUUGUGAACUCGAAGAGUAGGGCGGGACACGUGGUAUCCUGUCUGAAUAUGGGGGGACCAUCCUCCAAGGCUAAAUACUCCUGACUGACCGAUAGUGAACCAGUACCGUGAGGGAAAGGCGAAAAGAACCCCGGCGAGGGGAGUGAAAAAGAACCUGAAACCGUGUACGUACAAGCAGUGGGAGCACCUUCGGGUGUGACUGCGUACCUUUUGUAUAAUGGGUCAGCGACUUAUAUUCUGUAGCAAGGUUAACCGUAUAGGGGAGCCGCAGGGAAACCGAGUCUUAACUGGGCGUUAAGUUGCAGGGUAUAGACCCGAAACCCGGUGAUCUAGCCAUGGGCAGGUUGAAGGUUGGGUAACACUAACUGGAGGACCGAACCGACUAAUGUUGAAAAAUUAGCGGAUGACUUGUGGCUGGGGGUGAAAGGCCAAUCAAACCGGGAGAUAGCUGGUUCUCCCCGAAAGCUAUUUAGGUAGCGCCUCGUGAACUCAUCUUCGGGGGUAGAGCACUGUUUCGGCUAGGGGGUCAUCCCGACUUACCAACCCGAUGCAAACUACGAAUACCGAAGAAUGUUAUCACGGGAGACACACGGCGGGUGCUAACGUCCGUCGUGAAGAGGGAAACAACCCAGACCGCCAGCUAAGGUCCCAAAGUCAUGGUUAAGUGGGAAACGAUGUGGGAAGGCACAGACAGCCAGGAUGUUGGCUUAGAAGCAGCCAUCAUUUAAAGAAAGCGUAAUAGCUCACUGGUCGAGUCGGCCUGCGCGGAAGAUGUAACGGGGCUAAACCAUGCACCGAAGCUGCGGCAGCGACACUAUGUGUUGUUGGGUAGGGGAGCGUUCUGUAAGCCUGCGAAGGUGACCUGUGAGGGUUGCUGGAGGUAUCAGAAGUGCGAAUGCUGACAUAAGUAACGAUAAAGCGGGUGAAAAGCCCGCUCGCCGGAAGACCAAGGGUUCCUGUCCAACGUUAAUCGGGGCAGGGUGAGUCGACCCCUAAGGCGAGGCCGAAAGGCGUAGUCGAUGGGAAACAGGUUAAUAUUCCUGUACUUGGUGUUACUGCGAAGGGGGGACGGAGAAGGCUAUGUUAGCCGGGCGACGGUUGUCCCGGUUUAAGCAUGUAGGCUGGUUGUCCAGGCAAAUCCGGAUAAUCAAGGCUGAGGUGUGAUGACGAGGCACUACGGUGCUGAAGUAACAAAUGCCCUGCUUCCAGGAAAAGCCUCUAAGCAUCAGGUAACAUUGAAUCGUACCCCAAACCGACACAGGUGGUCAGGUAGAGAAUACCAAGGCGCUUGAGAGAACUCGGGUGAAGGAACUAGGCAAAAUGGUGCCGUAACUUCGGGAGAAGGCACGCUGGUGUGUAGGUGAAGUCCCUGCGGAUGGAGCUGAGACCAGUCGAAGAUACCAGCUGGCUGCAACUGUUUAUUAAAAACACAGCACUGUGCAAACACGAAAGUGGACGUAUACGGUGUGACGCCUGCCCGGUGCCGGAAGGUUAAUUGAUGGGGUUAUCCGUAAGGAGAAGCUCUUGAUCGAAGCCCCGGUAAACGGCGGCCGUAACUAUAACGGUCCUAAGGUAGCGAAAUUCCUUGUCGGGUAAGUUCCGACCUGCACGAAUGGCGUAAUGAUGGCCAGGCUGUCUCCACCCGAGACUCAGUGAAAUUGAACUCGCUGUGAAGAUGCAGUGUACCCGCGGCAAGACGGAAAGACCCCGUGAACCUUUACUAUAGCUUGACACUGAACAUUGAGCCUUGAUGUGUAGGAUAGGUGGGAGGCUUUGAAGCGUGGACGCCAGUCUGCGUGGAGCCAACCUUGAAAUACCACCCUUUAAUGUUUGAUGUUCUAACGUUGGCCCCUGACCGGGGUUGCGGACAGUGUCUGGUGGGUAGUUUGACUGGGGCGGUCUCCUCCCAAAGCGUAACGGAGGAGCACGAAGGUUAGCUAAUCCUGGUCGGACAUCAGGAGGUUAGUGCAAUGGCAUAAGCUAGCUUGACUGCGAGCGUGACGGCGCGAGCAGGUGCGAAAGCAGGUCAUAGUGAUCCGGUGGUUCUGAAUGGAAGGGCCAUCGCUCAACGGAUAAAAGGUACUCCGGGGAUAACAGGCUGAUACCGCCCAAGAGUUCAUAUCGACGGCGGUGUUUGGCACCUCGAUGUCGGCUCAUCACAUCCUGGGGCUGAAGUAGGUCCCAAGGGUAUGGCUGUUCGCCAUUUAAAGUGGUACGCGAGCUGGGUUUAGAACGUCGUGAGACAGUUCGGUCCCUAUCUGCCGUGGGCGCUGGAGAAUUGAGGGGGGCUGCUCCUAGUACGAGAGGACCGGAGUGGACGCAUCACUGGUGUUCGGGUUGUCAUGCCAAUGGCACUGCCCGGUAGCUAAAUGCGGAAGAGAUAAGUGCUGAAAGCAUCUAAGCACGAAACUUGCCCCGAGAUGAGUUCUCCCUGAGACUUUAAGUCUCCUGAAGGAACGUUGAAGACGACGACGUUGAUAGGCCGGGUGUGUAAGCGCAGCGAUGCGUUGAGCUAACCGGUACUAAUGAACCGUGAGGCUUAACCUUACAACGCCGAAG